UAGCUCAGUUGGUUAGAGCGUGGUGCUGAUAAUACCAAGGCCGCUGGUUCAAUCCCCGU
This 59-nucleotide transfer RNA is filed under the name Apaloderma vittatum (bar-tailed trogon). It matches the Rfam family "tRNA", at positions 8 to 63 of the family's 71-position model. Rfam says of the family: Transfer RNA (tRNA) molecules are approximately 80 nucleotides in length. Their secondary structure includes four short double-helical elements and three loops (D, anti-codon, and T loops). Lineage: Eukaryota; Metazoa; Chordata; Aves; Trogoniformes; Trogonidae. The record is from Rfam by way of RNAcentral.